CCCUUUGGACUUUUCCUCUAGGUUCCCGUGCUAACCUCUUCUGUGAGCUCACUCUGCCCCUCCUCCCUUUAAUUCUCUCGAGGUUAUCCAUUCGCUUAAAACAUUGCUUCUGGU
Vicugna pacos (alpaca) is the source of this 114-nucleotide non-coding RNA. Lineage: Eukaryota; Metazoa; Chordata; Mammalia; Artiodactyla; Camelidae. The record is from Rfam.